This 73-nucleotide transfer RNA is filed under the name Trichonephila inaurata madagascariensis. It matches the Rfam family "tRNA". From Rfam's summary of the family: Transfer RNA (tRNA) molecules are approximately 80 nucleotides in length. Lineage: Eukaryota; Metazoa; Arthropoda; Arachnida; Araneae; Nephilidae. The record is from Rfam by way of RNAcentral.
GUCUCUGUAGCGCAAUGUAUAGCGUGUUGGACUUCUAAUACAAAGAUCGUAGGUUCGAAUCCAACCUGGGAUG